This 433-nucleotide ribosomal RNA is filed under the name Triticum aestivum (bread wheat). RNAcentral's name for it is "partial small subunit ribosomal RNA". Lineage: Eukaryota; Viridiplantae; Streptophyta; Magnoliopsida; Poales; Poaceae. The record is from RNAcentral.
GGCACGCCCUGACGCACCGCAUGCAUCUCCUGGCCAUCGGGCGGGAAAGGAACAUCCAUGAGGCGGAGCCACACGUGGGGGGUGGGGGGAGGCGACGGAGAUGAGCCGCCAUAGGCCGUUAGAGCCUCGCCGGCGACGAAGGGGACGCCAUGCCUGAAACCCUAGCCACCGUUGAGGGUCGGGAGCGAGUGUGGGAGGCCUCUAGCGACGGAUCUGGAGGGAUGGGAGGAAGGAGAGGGGCGAGGGGAGGUCGUUGGUCUGCCACACGCCGCCGGGACUCGCCGGAAUCGGCCGUCGUGAGUGAUGGCGGCGGCGAGGAGUCGCGGGGCAAGAGAGAUAUCGUGAGAGAGGAGACGGGAGAAGACUGGCGUGUGAGAGCAGGGAUCGAUCGGUCGAUGCUUUUUUUUACUCUUCCCCUUCAGCACAGUAAAAU